This 135-nucleotide ribosomal RNA is filed under the name Ochotona princeps (American pika). The record is from RNAcentral. Lineage: Eukaryota; Metazoa; Chordata; Mammalia; Lagomorpha; Ochotonidae.
GUCUAUGGCCGCAGCACCCUGAACGUGUCCAAUCUCGUCUGAUCUCAGGGGCUAAGCAGGGUCGGGCCUGGUUAGUACUUGGAUGGGAUGUCUCCUGUUCUCUUUCAAGUGUUUACGCUAAAGUCAGCAUGGACA